UACGAAGGGGGCUAGCGUUGUUCGGAAUUACUGGGCGUAAAGCGCACGUAGGCGGAUUUGUAAGUCAGGGGUGAAAUCCCGGGGCUCAACCUCGGAACUGCCUUUGAUACUGCAAGUCUCGAGUCCGAUAGAGGUGAGUGGAAUUCCUAGUGUAGAGGUGAAAUUCGUAGAUAUUAGGAAGAACACCGGUGGCGAAGGCGGCCCACUGGAUCGGUACUGACGCUGAGGUGCGAAAGCGUGGGGAGCAAACAGG
Molecule: ribosomal RNA, 253 nt
Filed under: uncultured bacterium
Lineage: Bacteria
Description: partial 16S ribosomal RNA
Rfam family: Bacterial small subunit ribosomal RNA
Source: RNAcentral